RNAcentral lists this ribosomal RNA (490 nucleotides) under uncultured bacterium. RNAcentral's name for it is "partial 16S ribosomal RNA". It matches the Rfam family "Bacterial small subunit ribosomal RNA", at positions 30 to 507 of the family's 1533-position model. The record is from RNAcentral.
AUUGAACGCUGGCGGCAGGCCUAACACAUGCAAGUUGAACGGUAACAGGAAGCAGCUUGCUGCUUUGCUGACGAGUGGCGGACGGGUGAGUAAUGUCUGGGAAACUGCCCGAUGGAGGGGGAUAACUACUGGAAACGGUAGCUAAUACCGCAUAACGUCGCAAGACCAAAGAGGGGGACCUUAGGGCCUCUUGCCAUCGGAUGUGCCCAGAUGGGAUUAGCUAGUAGGUGGGGUAACGGCUCACCUAGGCGACGAUCCCUAGCUGGUCUGAGAGGAUGACCAGCCACACUGGAACUGAGACACGGUCCAGACUCCUACGGGAGGCAGCAGUGGGGAAUAUUGCACAAUGGGCGCAAGCCUGAUGCAGCCAUGCCGCGUGUAUGAAGAAGGCCUUCGGGUUGUAAAGUACUUUCAGCGGGGAGGAAGGGAGUAAAGUUAAUACCUUUGCUCAUUGACGUUACCCGCAGAAGAAGCACCGGCUAACUCCGUG